Molecule: ribosomal RNA, 497 nt
Filed under: uncultured bacterium
Lineage: Bacteria
Description: partial 16S ribosomal RNA
Rfam family: Bacterial small subunit ribosomal RNA
Source: RNAcentral
GAUGAACGCUGGCGGCGUGCCUAAUACAUGCAAGUCGAGCGAACAGACGAGGAGCUUGCUCCUCUGACGUUAGCGGCGGACGGGUGAGUAACACGUGGAUAACCUACCUAUAAGACUGGGAUAACUUCGGGAAACCGGAGCUAAUACCGGAUAAUAUAUUGAUCCGCAUGGUUCAAUAGUGAAAGACGGUUUUGCUGUCACUUAUAGAUGGAUCCGCGCCGCAUUAGCUAGUUGGUAAGGUAACGGCUUACCAAGGCAACGAUGCGUAGCCGACCUGAGAGGGUGAUCGGCCACACUGGAACUGAGACACGGUCAAGACUCCUACGGGAGGCAGCAGUAGGGAAUCUUCCGCAAUGGGCGAAAGCCUGACGGAGCAACGCCGCGUGAGUGAUGAAGGUCUUCGGAUCGUAAAACUCUGUUAUUAGGGAAGAACAAAUGUGUAAGUAACUAUGCACGUCUUGACGGUACCUAAUCAGAAAGCAACGGCUAACUACGUG